Molecule: small nucleolar RNA, 251 nt
Organism: Heteronotia binoei (common prickly gecko)
Lineage: Eukaryota; Metazoa; Chordata; Lepidosauria; Squamata; Gekkonidae
Product: small nucleolar RNA SNORD17
Exons: 1
Source: RefSeq, a predicted model, not a curated record
GUGAAGUGAUGAUGAAGUUUAUCCAUUCUCUGAGUGUUGCUGCUCUGCCCUUCCUGCCACAUCCAGAUGCCUGUUCUAGGGUCUUGAUGCUCUGUGGCCUCCUGGCUCCUCCUAGCCUUGCAGUGUUCUGCUGGGGGCUGGGAGGGGCAUUAAGCUCGCUGCUGGCAGGGCCUGGGCAGAACUAGCAGGGCCAGAGCCCUCCUUCCAGGGGGGGUCUGACUCAGCCAAGAAGAAUGAAACUGUCUGAUCAC